GAUAACUGUGGUAAUUCUAGAGCUAAUACAUGCGACAAAGCUCCGACCCUCGAUGGAAAGAGCGCUUUUAUUAGAUCAAGACCAACCGGUAUCGCCUUCGGGUGUGCCGUCGGAUUGAUGACUCUGGAUAACCUUCGCCGAUCGUAUGGCCCCGAGCCGACGACGCAUCUUUCAAAUGUCUGCCCUAUCAACUUUCGUUGGUAGGUGAUUUGCCUACCAAGGUGUUUACGGGUAACGGGGGAUCAGGGUUCGAUCCCGGAGAGGGAGCAUGAGAAACGGCUACCACAUCCAAGGAAGGCAGCAGGCGCGCAAAUUACCCACUCUUAGCACGAGGAGGUAGUGACGAAAAAUAACAAUACGGGACUCUUUCGAGGCCCCGUAAUUGGAAUGAGUACACUCUAAACCCGUUAACGAGGAUCUAUUGGAGGGCAAGUCUGGUGCCAGCAGCCGCGGUAAUUCCAGCUCCAAUAGCGUAUAUUAAAGCUGUUGCAGUUAAAAAGCUCGUAGUCGGAUUUCGGGCGGCGGCCAAUGGUUCGGCUCCGUGCCGAUACUGCUGGUCGCGGCCUCCACGCCGGUCGUCUUUCGGUGCUCUUAACUGAGUGCCUUAAGUAGCCGGAGCGUUUACUUUGAAAAAUUAGAGUGUUCAAGGCAGGCCUCGAGCCUGAAUGAUGGUGCAUGGAAUAAUGGAAUAGGACCUCGGUUCUAUUUUGUUGGUCUUCGGAACUGGAGGUUAUGAUUAAUAGGGACGGACGGGGGCAUUCGUAUUGCGGCGUUAGAGGUGAAAUUCUUGGAUCGUCGCAGAACGACUACUGCGAAAGCAUUGGCCAGAAUGUUUCAUUGAUCAGAGCGAAGUCA
This 855-nucleotide ribosomal RNA is filed under the name Nemertopsis bivittata. RNAcentral describes it as "SSU rRNA". It matches the Rfam family "Eukaryotic small subunit ribosomal RNA", at positions 142 to 992 of the family's 1831-position model. Lineage: Eukaryota; Metazoa; Nemertea; Enopla; Monostilifera; Emplectonematidae. The record is from RNAcentral.